RNAcentral lists this long non-coding RNA (1132 nucleotides) under Piliocolobus tephrosceles (Ugandan red Colobus). RNAcentral describes it as "lncRNA (ENSPTEG00000010341.1)". The record is from RNAcentral. Lineage: Eukaryota; Metazoa; Chordata; Mammalia; Primates; Cercopithecidae.
UUUUUCUUUACCCAAUUUAUAUGGUUAGAAUUUCGGAACGUACGAAAAUAUCGCAAAAGACAUAAUAUUAAGAGAAGAGGAUAAGGUAGAGGAAAAAAAAAAAAAAAAAAAAAUUUUUUAUUAUAUAAUAAAAAAGUGGAUUUGAAAACAGAUGAAAAACCAGUGAGAAUAAAAAAACGUAUCGAAAUAGAAAAUAUAGAAAGGACAUGUGACUUCUACAUAAACAAAUAUUUUAAAGAUGAUGUAGAUAAAUCUAAUUUAACUGAUGUAAAAAAUGAAACCAAAACUAAUAAUGACAGUUCUAUAACUUAUUUAAAUAAAAGAAGAAACUCAUUUUUUCUAAUGAAAACUGAAUUAUUAUAUAAAUCAAAAAUUAAUUCAAAACAAGCUUUAUUGAUAUAUGAAAAAAUAAAAGAAAAACUUGAACAUAAUUAUAAUAUAGCAUACAGUUUAAGUGUCCCAGGUAACCACAUAAAAAAAGAUAAUAACAUUAAAGAUGAAAAUUUAAAAGAGAAUUCAAACUUAAAGAUAGUGGAAAACAGUAACACUAACACUGUUUUGAAAAAUAAACAAACUAAAAUAAAAGACACGAAAGGAAAAACAAACAAAAAAAUUAUAAAUAAAGAGAAUCAUAUAUUAUCGGAAGAAGCGAAUAAAAUAGCAACUGACCAUUAUGAUGGUACUAUAGUAAAAGAAAAUACAAAAAUAAGUAUAGCAAUAAAUAAUGAUAAUGGAAAUAUAAAAAGUGAUAAAAAUAAAGAAGGAGAAGAAGCAGAAGCAGAAGCAGUUGAGUCAGGUGAAAAUCAACAUUUUAAAAAUAUAAAUGAUAAAGAAGCUAGCGAGCAAAUAAAAGAAAAUCAUGAUGAAGUUCAAAAAAGUGAAUCAAGUGAUGCAAAACUUGAUAAUGCAUUAGGAAAUUUGCAAGAUGGACAAACAUAUGAAGGACGAAUGAAUAAGGACAUAACUGAGGAGGAAGAUAAUACGAACGCAGGAAAUGAAGUUGAAGCGGGUCGAGUUGUAGAGGAUAACAUUAUACAAGAUAAAACUGAAGAGAAUAUUGUUCAGGUAGACAAAGUUGAUGAGGAUACUGUUAAAGUAGAUACAGUUGAAGAGGAUACUGUUAAAGUAGAUA